UUUGAUUAGGAAGUUUGAGGAUCA
RNAcentral lists this microRNA (24 nucleotides) under Gossypium raimondii (Peruvian cotton). Its description in RNAcentral is "gra-miR8781b". The record is from miRBase by way of RNAcentral. Lineage: Eukaryota; Viridiplantae; Streptophyta; Magnoliopsida; Malvales; Malvaceae.